CCAUUCUUCCACCCACCCAGCCCCCGCCUGUCACGUAGCUCCCCCCAUUCCACCCUAUCCCGGUAAAACCAGGACCGACGGUGGGCCCGGUGCUCCGAGGGCACCCGGUUAACCCGGCCGGACGCGCCAGCCCUCCGCCAAGCUCCCCCGCCCAUCCGCUCCAGGCCGCGUCCGAAAGGAGUGGCGAGGGUACAGAGGCCGAGGACACGGCACAGAGCGGGCGAGCAAGAGAGAUGGAGAGACUGCCACUCAGAGAAGUUAAGUACUUUGUCCAAGGGCACACAGCAGUGUGGUGGAACUAGAACUGAAAUCCACAUCUAUCUGACCCCAAAAAACCAGGGCUCCUUGGAGAAAUGACUGAUUCUAGGACUGGGGCAGAACAUGUACAAGAUGAGCCUGGAGCAUCUUGUAGUGCCAGAAAGUAAAGGAGUGCUCACAACACAAAAAGCAGAAAAACCCUGCUGUGACGGAGCUGCGUCAAAGAGCCAUGGGAACCAACUGAAAGAACUCCCAAUGGGUAA
This is a long non-coding RNA of Lagenorhynchus albirostris (white-beaked dolphin), 521 nucleotides long. RefSeq lists it as uncharacterized. Lineage: Eukaryota; Metazoa; Chordata; Mammalia; Artiodactyla; Delphinidae. The transcript is spliced from 3 exons. The record is from RefSeq and is a predicted model, not a curated record.